RNAcentral lists this ribosomal RNA (488 nucleotides) under uncultured eukaryote. RNAcentral's name for it is "eukaryotic LSU rRNA". It matches the Rfam family "Eukaryotic large subunit ribosomal RNA", at positions 124 to 636 of the family's 3401-position model. The record is from RNAcentral.
GCAAUAAAGUUGUAGAAUUGUAAUCUAGUAGAGUAGCUCGGAAAGUGGAGACUUAUCAUAAGUUCCUGGAAUAGGACGCCAGAGAAGGUGAUAGCCCUGUCUUAGGAUAAGUCGAGACAAUACGAGAUGCUUCUAAGAGUCGGGUAGUUUGGGAAUGCUGCCCUAAUUGGGAGAUAAACUUCUCCUAAGGCUAAAUAUUUAUAGAAGACCGAUAGCAUACAAGUACUGCGAAGGAAAGAUGAAAAGAACUUUGAAAAGAGGGUUAAAAGACUUGAAAUCGUUGAAAAGGAAGCAGUAAAAGAGAAAUUAUUCACCAAGUAGUUGGAAAUUAUUCUAAGUUAGGAGGUGGAGAGUAUCUAACAGAGCUCUUGCCAUCUAAUGAAAAAUAAGUGACUUUACUUGAGUGAUAGACAAAAUGAUAUUGAAUUGCAAGAAUAAGGUGAAGGAUGUAUUUCCUAGCUCGAAGUUGCAAAUCAGUAUGAGGGAUC